AGAGUUUGAUCCUGGCUCAGAACGAACGCUGGCGGCGUGGCUAAGACAUGCAAGUCGAACGGACCAUUAAUUUAUUAGUGGUUAGUGGCGAAAGGGUUAGUAAUAGAUAGGUAACGUACCCUAUGCUCCGGGAUAGCGCCGGUUGCCUUCGGGCAACCUACCGAAAGGGACGGGAAUACCGGAUAAUAUCAUGCGUUGAUAGGCGCAUGAUCAAAGAUUUAUCGGCAAAGGAGCGGCCUAUCUCCUAUCAGCUUGUUGGUAAGGUAACGGCUUACCAAGACUACGAUAGGUAGGGGCCCUGAGAGGGGGAUCCCCCACACUGGUACUGAGACACGGACCAGACUCCUACGGGAGGCAGCAGUGAGGAAUAUUGGACAAUGGAGGCAACUCUGAUCCAGCCAUGCCGCGUGCAGGAAGACUGCCCUAUGGGUUGUAAACUGCUUUUAUAUAGGAAGAAACGUUCCCACGUGUUGGGAAUUUGACGUACUAUAAGAAUAAGACCGCUAACU
This 509-nucleotide ribosomal RNA is filed under the name uncultured bacterium. Its description in RNAcentral is "bacterial SSU rRNA". It matches the Rfam family "Bacterial small subunit ribosomal RNA", at positions 8 to 502 of the family's 1533-position model. The record is from RNAcentral.